AAGGCGAAUAAUUCCCGGCCCUGCUACCCCGGAGACCGGCGGAGGGGCGGUCACCUGGUUGGGUGGGGUCGAGGGGCGGUACGCACCCUGGGGGAAGCCAAUGAGAAAAUCAGGCCCGGCCCGAGGGGGCGGUGCCUUCGGUCACAUGCGCACCUGGGGCGGGCGGUGGCGGCGGCGGCGCGGGCACCGCGAGCUCACGGCAAGGAGCAGGGCCGGGCUAGGGCGGGGUUAGGCAGGUGAGUGACAGGCUCUGGGGGGCCGGCCCCAGCCGGGAGCAGCGAGCGAGCCGGGUGUAGCCGCGGCGGUGCCCGCCCCCUCUCUCCGCCCCUCCAGCGGAGCUGGUCUUGGGCCGGGCACCGUCGCGGGCCCCCCUGGCCCGGCCACCUGGGACUGUGCUGGGGAGUCGGCCACCUCCCUCUCUCCCCUCGCCGCAAAGUUUGUGGCGAAGCCGGCGCUGGGGCACAGCGCGCCCCCGGGGGGCAGAUCCAGGAGCGCCCGAUGGCUGGCGGCAGGAGCCGUUGACCAGGGACGCCGCCGUCCGGGGCAGGAGCGCGGAGCAGCGGACCAGCCUGCCGCCUCCAGUGCAUGGGGCCCGGGUGAGGAGUCAGCAUGGGCAACUGCGUGGGGAGACAGCGCCGGGAGAGGCCGGCCGCCCCGGGACACCCCCGCAAGCGAGCAGACUAUUUUCAGCACAGCAGCCAGAGUGAUGCUGUAAACUCUAUUAAAAAGAGAAUAAAGGUAUAUCGACUCCCUGCCAAGUUCACAGAAAUAUGGUGCAGCCUAUAUAAAAACUGCAUGGGCUCCUUUAAGUUUUGAGUAUGUCAAGGUCAAGACAUUGUAGGGAAGUGGUCGAGGUCAAGUGCAUUCAAAAGGGAGGAGGUCUCUUUGUCACUUUUUUUAGUGGUCUUGGGCAAGUUAUUUGUGCUUGGUUGAUCUUCUGUUUAAAAAAUAAAAAAGAUGGUAAUAUCUUCAGUUUACUUCAGAGAGAUGUUAUGGGGGUAAAAUAAUAAGCUAACACUUUUUUUUUGUUUUUGUUUAUU
Hipposideros armiger (great roundleaf bat) is the source of this 1040-nucleotide long non-coding RNA. RefSeq lists it as uncharacterized. NCBI's taxonomy places the organism in Eukaryota, Metazoa, Chordata, Mammalia, Chiroptera, Hipposideridae. The record is from RefSeq and is a predicted model, not a curated record. The transcript has 3 exons.